AGAAAGACAUGGGAGGGCAGGGGCAAGAACGGCAGCCUCUCCCUAGCUCACAUCUCACCAGGGUUGGCUAAGCAGUCCUCCCCUUGCCCCACGAGUGGCAGGACAGCUCCCAACACUUCUCUAGGCUUAAAGUACAUGUGGAAGGGCGAGCCUCCCAGGAUUCUCAAACAGAAGCAGCCUGCCAGGCUGAGCCAUCCAGAAGGUUGAAGAAAAAUGCCGUCGUGGUCCCCUGCCUGCUUACUCAGCGUGUCAAGCAGGAGUUCUCAGCUCCAGUGUGCCAUGGAGGGCCUUGGGAAGAGGUCACAUACCAUUCCCAUCCCCAGGCACAGGAGCACUGAGGACCCUUCUUGACCUCCUGGAUCAGAAAGGCAGAGGAAAUGCUGGGCAGAAGUCAAGGUGUCAGUGGGCUGCCCUCCCUCCGGAGGCUCCAGGGGAGAAUCUAUUCCUCGCCUCUUCCAAUUGCUGGUGGCUGAUGGCACACCUUGGCUUGUGGCCACAAUACUCCAAUUUCUGCCUCCAUGGUCACACUGACUUCAUUUCUUCUGUGUGCAUCAAAUUUCUCUCUGCUCUGUGAUUGCAUUUAGGGCCCCUGGAUCAGCAAUGUCAUAAAAGACCCCAGUUCUUCCCCUGUCUCCUCUCUGCCGUCUUUGGGGUGUUGAUUUGACCCUUAAACUAAUUUUCCUUAUGGCCACAAGAUAGCUGCCACUGUGUCAAAUAUUACAUGCAGUCUCAAUGAAGGCUAGAGAUAAAAUAGAA
Homo sapiens (human) is the source of this 756-nucleotide long non-coding RNA. Ensembl annotates it as long intergenic non-protein coding RNA 1298. Lineage: Eukaryota; Metazoa; Chordata; Mammalia; Primates; Hominidae. The record is from Ensembl.